AGAGUGGCGGACGGGUGAGUAAAGUAUGGGGAUCUGCCGAAUGGAGGGGGACAACUGCUGGAAACGGCAGCUAAUACCGCAUAAAGUUGAGAGACCAAAGCGUGGGACUUUUUAGCCACGCGCCAUUUGAUGAACCCAUAUGGGAUUAGCUUGUUGGUAGGGUAAUGGCUUACCAAGGCGACGAUCUCUAGCUGGUCUGAGAGGAUGACCAGCCACACUGGAACUGAGACACGGUCCAGACUCCUAUGGGAGGCAGCAGUGGGGGAUAUUGCACAAUGGGGGAAACCCUGAUGCAGCCAUGCCGCGUGUAUGAAGAAGGCUUUCGGGUUGUAAAGUACUUUCGGUAAUGAGGAAGGUGUAUUAUCUAACAGGUAAUGCAAUUGACGUUAGUUACAGAAGAAGCACCGGCUAACUCCGUGCCAGCAGCCGCGGUAAUACGGAGGGUGCGAGCGUUAAUCGGAAUAACUGGGCGUAAAGGGCAUGCAGGCGGGUCAUUAAGUUAGGUGUGAAAUCCCCGGGCUCAACCUGGGAACUGCACUUAAAACUGGUGGUCUGGAGUAUUGUAGAGGAAGGUAGAAUUCCACGUGUAGCGGUGAAAUGCGUAGAGAUGUGGAGGAAUACCGGUGGCGAAGGCGGCCUUCUGGACAAAUACUGACGCUGAGAUGCGAAAGCGUGGGGAGCAAACAGGAUUAGAUACCCUGGUAGUCCACGCUGUAAACGAUGUCGAUUUGGAGUUUGGUGGCAUGACUGCUGGGGCUUCAAAA
Molecule: ribosomal RNA, 764 nt
Filed under: Serratia symbiotica
Lineage: Bacteria; Pseudomonadati; Pseudomonadota; Gammaproteobacteria; Enterobacterales; Yersiniaceae
Description: bacterial SSU rRNA
Rfam family: Bacterial small subunit ribosomal RNA
Source: RNAcentral